This 375-nucleotide ribosomal RNA is filed under the name uncultured Alphaproteobacteria bacterium. RNAcentral's name for it is "bacterial SSU rRNA". It matches the Rfam family "Bacterial small subunit ribosomal RNA", at positions 521 to 896 of the family's 1533-position model. The record is from RNAcentral. Lineage: Bacteria; Pseudomonadati; Pseudomonadota; Alphaproteobacteria.
UAAUACGGAGGGGGCUAGCGUUGUUCGGAAUUACUGGGCGUAAAGAGCGCGUAGGCGGUUUACCAAGUUGGGGGUGAAAUCCCGGGGCUUAACUCCGGAACUGCCCUCAAAACUGGUAGGCUAGAGUGUGGGAGAGGAGAGUGGAAUUCCCAGUGUAGAGGUGAAAUUCGUAGAUAUUGGGAAGAACACCAGUGGCGAAGGCGGCUCUCUGGACCACAACUGACGCUGAGGCGCGAAAGCGUGGGGAGCAAACAGGAUUAGAUACCCUGGUAGUCCACGCCGUAAACGAUGAGUGCUAGACGUUGGGGGGCUUGCCCUUCAGUGUCGCAGCUAACGCAUUAAGCACUCCGCCUGGGGAGUACGGUCGCAAGAUUA